RNAcentral lists this ribosomal RNA (443 nucleotides) under uncultured bacterium. RNAcentral's name for it is "partial 16S ribosomal RNA". It matches the Rfam family "Bacterial small subunit ribosomal RNA", at positions 338 to 795 of the family's 1533-position model. The record is from RNAcentral.
CCUACGGGAGGCUGCAGUGGGGAAUAUUGGGCAAUGGGCGCAAGCCUGACCCAGCAACGCCGCGUGAAGGAAGAAGGCUUUCGGGUUGUAAACUUCUUUUCUGAGGGACGAAGAAUGUGACGGUACCUCCUGACUAAGCCACGGCUAACUACGUGCCAGCCGCCGCGGUAAUACGUAGGUGGCAAGCGUUAUCCGGAUUUAUUGGGUGUAAAGGGCGGGUAGGCGGGAAAGCAAGUCAGAUGUGAAAACUCAGGGCUCAACCCUGCGCCUGCAUUUGAAACUGGUUUUCUUGAGUGCUGGAGAGGCAAUCGGAAUUCCGUGUGUAGCGGUGAAAUGCGUAGAUAUACGGAGGAACACCAGUGGCGAAGGCGGAUUGCUGGACAGGAACUGACGCUGAGGCGCGAAAGCGUGGGGAGCGAACAGGAUUAGAUACCCGAGUAGUC